RNAcentral lists this transfer RNA (77 nucleotides) under Mycoplasmataceae bacterium. Its description in RNAcentral is "tRNA-Met". It matches the Rfam family "tRNA". From Rfam's summary of the family: Transfer RNA (tRNA) molecules are approximately 80 nucleotides in length. Their secondary structure includes four short double-helical elements and three loops (D, anti-codon, and T loops). Further hydrogen bonds mediate the characteristic L-shaped molecular structure. tRNAs have two regions of fundamental functional importance: the anti-codon, which is responsible for specific mRNA codon recognition, and the 3' end, to which the tRNAs corresponding amino acid is attached (by aminoacyl-tRNA synthetases). tRNAs cope with the degeneracy of the genetic code in two manners: having more than one tRNA (with a specific anti-codon) for a particular amino acid; and 'wobble' base-pairing, i.e. permitting non-standard base-pairing at the 3rd anti-codon position. Lineage: Bacteria; Bacillati; Mycoplasmatota; Mollicutes; Mycoplasmatales; Mycoplasmataceae. The record is from RNAcentral.
GGCUAGGUAUCUCAGUUAGUUAGAGAGCGGAGCUCAUACCUCCGAUGUCGGGGGUGCAACUCCCUCCUUAGCCACCA